Molecule: non-coding RNA, 28 nt
Filed under: Mus musculus (house mouse)
Lineage: Eukaryota; Metazoa; Chordata; Mammalia; Rodentia; Muridae
Source: RNAcentral
UCACAAUUCAACAUGCUCUUACAUGCAA